GGGGGACACCCGGGGAACUCGGGCUAUACCGCAUACGCCCUACGUGGGUGAAAGCUGGGGGAUCUUCUGUGACCUCGUGCUAUUGGAUGAGCCCUGCGUCGGAUUAGCUUGUUGGUGAGUGUAAGUGGCUCACCAAGGCGACGAUCCUGUAGCUGGUCUGAGAGGACGAUCAGCCACACUGGGACUGAGACACGGCCAGACUCCUACGGGAGUGCAGCAGUGGUGGAAUAUUGGACAAUGGGCGAAAGCCUGAUCCAGCAAUGCCGCGUGUGUGAAGAAGGCCUUCGGGUUGUAAAGCACUUUCAGUGGGGAAGAAAAGCAGGGGGCCAAUACCUCUCUGUGCUGACGUUACCCACAGAAGAAGCACCGGCUAACUCCGUGCCAGCAGCCGCGGUAAUACGGAGGGUGCGAGCGUUAAUCAGAAUUACUGGGCGUAAAGGGCGAGUAGGUGGUUCGGUCAGUCGGAUGUGAAAUCCCCGGGCUCAACUUGGGAAUUGCAUUCGAUACUGCCGAGCUUGAGUGUGGUAGAGGGAAGCGGAAUUCCGGGUGUAGCGGUGAAAUGCGUAGAUAUCCGGAGGAACACCAGUGGCGAAGGCGGCUUCCUGGACCAACACUGACACUGAGUCGCGAAAGCGUGGGGAGCAAACAGGAUUAGAUACCCUGGUAGUCCACGCCCUAAACGAUGAGAACUAGCCGUUGGGGGUAUUAGAAACCUUUAGUGGCGCAGCUAACGCGAUAAGUUCUCCGCCUGGGGAGUACGGCCGCAAGGUUAAAACUCAAAGGAAUUGACGGGGGCCCGCACAAGCGGUGGAGUAUGUGGUUUAAUUCGAUGCAACGCGAAGAACCUUACCUGCCCUUGACAUGCUCGGAACGAGGCAGAGAUGCUUCGGUGCCUUCGGGAGCCGAGACACAGGUGCUGCAUGGCGUCGUCAGCUCGUGUCGUGAGAUGUUGGGUUAAGUCCCGUAACGAGCGCAACCCUUGUCCUUAGUUGCCAGCGAUUCGGUCGGGAACUCUAAGGAGACUGCCGGUGACAAACCGGAGGAAGGUGGGGAUGACGUCAAGUCCUCAUGGCCCUUAUGGGCAGGGCUACACACGUACUACAAUGGCCGGUACAGAGGGUCGCCAACCCGCAAGGGGGAGCCAAUCCCACAAAACCGGUCGUAGUCCGGAUCGGAGUCUGCAACUCGACUCCGUGAAGUCGGAAUCGCUAGUAAUCGCGGAUCAGAACGCCGCGGUGAAUACGUUCCCGGGCCUUGUACACACCGCCCGUCACACCAUGGGAGUGGGCUGCAAAAGAAGUAGGUAGCUUAACUUCGGGAGGGCGCUUACCACUU
This 1335-nucleotide ribosomal RNA is filed under the name uncultured Gammaproteobacteria bacterium. RNAcentral describes it as "bacterial SSU rRNA". It matches the Rfam family "Bacterial small subunit ribosomal RNA", at positions 138 to 1462 of the family's 1533-position model. Lineage: Bacteria; Pseudomonadati; Pseudomonadota; Gammaproteobacteria. The record is from RNAcentral.